Saccostrea cuccullata (small rock oyster) is the source of this 1297-nucleotide long non-coding RNA. RefSeq lists it as uncharacterized. The record is from RefSeq and is a predicted model, not a curated record. Lineage: Eukaryota; Metazoa; Mollusca; Bivalvia; Ostreida; Ostreidae. The transcript is spliced from 2 exons.
AUAACUCUGGGUAGAAAUAGAACAAGAAAACGGAACCUCUUUCCUUAUUUGCUAGGUUAGACCAAACACUCGGGAAGCCCAGCACAUUAUAUUCCAGUGGUUACCAUAAGGACCGAGAAAAAUUAACCAUCAGUGCAAGAGUUGUCCGGUGUGAAAAUCAGUUAAAUAAAAUGGACCAGAAACUAGAUCAGGUAUUGUUUAUGAUAAAUUCUUUACUGAAAUCCAAGAAAGUGAACGAGUCCGCACAGGGGGAUGAAGUUUGAGGCAGGCCUAUGUCAUGAUGAUCAUGUGACCGUGAUUAACCAAUGAACUUAUAAAGUUUAAAAAGAACUCUUUGAACUGCAGUUUUGCUCCUGAGGUUGUGAUUUUUGAUUUUUUAUGUUCAUACCUGGCACAUAUGAGGAAUUUUUAUGUACGUUGUUAUAUUGCACAAGAUCCUUUUUAGCAAUCAAAGUGGUAAUGAAACAAAGUAGAAUCUCAGGAAAUGUAUGAGGUCUAGUUUAUUGAAUGCAUUGUGUACUGGUAAUUCGUCUCGUUUUAUACUUUCUCAGAUUCUUGUUUUGUUACUUUACGCAUUUUUCCAAGAAAGAAAUGAAAUGUUACGCCACAUAGAUUUUACCCCUUUGUAGUACAAAUAAAGAACAUUUCAUUAACUGCAAAAUAAUGCAUUUUUAUGAAAAUAUUAUUUCUUUCAAAAUACCGGUUUUCUUAUCAAGAGACCUUUUCCUGUACAGGACAAUCUCGAAUAAUGAAUGAUUUUUCUGUGAUUGAGUUUAGCUAUUGCACUUGUUUGUGAGUUGUAAAAAAGAGAGUGAGACUGAAAUGCGACAGCACAAAUGGAUUGAGGACAAAAGGUGAGGCAGCAAUUGUUAAAGGGCAACAAAUAAAGAUAUAAUCACCCUCCCAAUGUCUCUUAAUAAGAACGAGGGAGCAGGAGGACAAAAUCAGACCAUGCUGUGACGUAUAGACUGAUAAUAACACGAUAUAUUUCUUCCAUUGCGUAUACUUGUAUUUUGUCAAUCAUACGAAAAAAAAAAACAACAUUUUCCGGCAUUGUUCCUCGGGAUCGAUCUUUGUGAUACUAGUACCUUUAAGAUCAAAUCUAGUGAACGGGGUGUGAAUAUUUGAUGAAGAGCACUCAAAUUUUGAGCAGAUUUUUGGGGCGAUAUGAGAGACGGUUCUAAUGAGAGAAUAACGUUCUAUGUGUGAUCAACUGCAAUUUUAAAGAAGUUUUAUAUAUUUUCGUGGUUACGUUGUGUAUUGUUAAAUACCGUAAUAAAAAAUACACAUCCCUGAA